AUACGAAGGGGGCUAGCGUUGCUCGGAAUGACUGGGCGUAAAGGGCGUGUAGGCGGUUUACACAGUCAGAUGUGAAAUCCCCGGGCUUAACCUGGGAGCUGCACUUGAUACGUGCAGACUAGAGUGUGAGAGAGGGUUGUGGAAUUCCCAGUGUAGAGGUGAAAUUCGUAGAUAUUGGGAAGAACACCGGUGGCGAAGGCGGCAACCUGGCUCAUGACUGACGCUGAGGCGCGAAAGCGUGGGGAGC
Molecule: ribosomal RNA, 247 nt
Filed under: uncultured bacterium
Lineage: Bacteria
Description: partial 16S ribosomal RNA
Rfam family: Bacterial small subunit ribosomal RNA
Source: RNAcentral